AUUGAACGCUGGCGGCAGGCUUAACACAUGCAAGUCGAGCGGGGUGAUGGUGCUUGCACUAUCACUUAGCGGCGGACGGGUGAGUAAUGCUUAGGAAUCUGCCUAUUAGUGGGGGACAACAUCUCGAAAGGGAUGCUAAUACCGCAUACGUCCUACGGGAGAAAGCAGGGGAUCACUUGUGACCUUGCGCUAAUAGAUGAGCCUAAGUCGGAUUAGCUAGUUGGUGGGGUGAAGGCCUACCAAGGCGACGAUCUGUAGCGGGUCUGAGAGGAUGAUCCGCCACACUGGGACUGAGACACGGCCCAGACUCCUACGGGAGGCAGCAGUGGGGAAUAUUGGACAAUGGGGGGAACCCUGAUCCAGCCAUGCCGCGUGUGUGAAGAAGGCCUUAUGGUUGUAAAGCACUUUAAGCGAGGAGGAGGCUCUUUUGGCUAAUACCCAAGAUGAGUGGACGUUACUCGCAGAAUAAGCACCGGCUAACUCUGUGCCAGCAGCCGCAGUAA
RNAcentral lists this ribosomal RNA (503 nucleotides) under uncultured bacterium. RNAcentral describes it as "partial 16S ribosomal RNA". It matches the Rfam family "Bacterial small subunit ribosomal RNA", at positions 30 to 523 of the family's 1533-position model. The record is from RNAcentral.